GACGAACGCUGGCGGCGUGCUUAACACAUGCAAGUCGAACGGUGAAGGGGUCUGCUUUUGUGGGCCCUGGAUGAGUGGCGAACGGGUGAGUAACACGUGAGUAACCUGCCCCCUUCUUCUGGAUAACCGCAUGAAAGUGUGGCUAAUACGGGAUAUUCUGGGUCUGUCGCAUGAUGGGUCUGGGUAAGAUUGCGCCUUUGGGUGUUUUUGGUGGGGGAUGGGCUGGCGGCCUAUCAGCUUGGUGGUGGGGUGAUGGCCUACCAGGGCGGUGACGGGUAGCGGGGCUGAGAGGGUGGACGGUGCCACUGGGACUGGGACACGGGCCAGACUCCUACGGGAGGCAGCAGUGGGGAAUAUUGCACAAUGGGCGCAAGCCUGAUGCAGCGACGCCGCGUGAGGGAUGGAGGCCUUCGGGUUGUAAACCUCUUUCGCCAGUGAAGCAGGCCUGCUCCUUGUGGGUGGGUUGACGGUAGCUGGAUAAGAAGCGCCGGCUAACUACGUG
This 502-nucleotide ribosomal RNA is filed under the name uncultured bacterium. Its description in RNAcentral is "partial 16S ribosomal RNA". It matches the Rfam family "Bacterial small subunit ribosomal RNA", at positions 28 to 507 of the family's 1533-position model. The record is from RNAcentral.